RNAcentral lists this ribosomal RNA (110 nucleotides) under Ailuropoda melanoleuca (giant panda). RNAcentral's name for it is "similar to 28S ribosomal RNA". The record is from RNAcentral. Lineage: Eukaryota; Metazoa; Chordata; Mammalia; Carnivora; Ursidae.
GCUACCACCUGUGGGAUUAUGACUGAAUGCCUCUAAGUCAGAAUCUCGCCCAGGCGGAAUGAUACGGCAGCACCACAGCGCCCCAGUUGGCCUCAGAUAGCUGGUCCCCC